This 25-nucleotide non-coding RNA is filed under the name Mus musculus (house mouse). The record is from RNAcentral. Lineage: Eukaryota; Metazoa; Chordata; Mammalia; Rodentia; Muridae.
UUCUAGGAUCUGUACUUGUGUAAAG